GAUGAACGCUGGCGGCGUGCCUAACACAUGCAAGUCGAACGGACAGACGAGAAGCUUUGUUGUCUGAUGUUAGCGUCGCACGGGGGUGUGACAUGUGUAGGACCUACCUAUAUGGCUGGGAUUACUUCGUGAAAACGUAGCUAAAUCCGGAUAAUCGUCUGAACCGCAAGGUGCGAAAGUGAAAGGCGUUCUUCCUUUCGCUGUGAGCUGGUUCGGCGCUGCAUUAGCUAGUUGGUAAGGUCACGGCUUCCCAAGGCAACGAUGCAUAGCCGACGUGAGAGGGUGAUCGGCCACACUGGAACUGAGACACGGUCCAGACUCCUACGGGAGGGAGCAGUAGGGAAUCUUCCACAAUGGGCGAAAGCCUGACGGAGCAAUGCCGCGUGAAUGAUGAAGGCCUUCGGAUCGUAAAACUCUGUUAUUAGGGAAGAACAGAUGUGUAUGUAAACGUGCACAUCUUGACGGUACCUAAUCAGGAAGCACCGGCUAACUACGUG
RNAcentral lists this ribosomal RNA (497 nucleotides) under uncultured bacterium. RNAcentral describes it as "partial 16S ribosomal RNA". It matches the Rfam family "Bacterial small subunit ribosomal RNA", at positions 28 to 507 of the family's 1533-position model. The record is from RNAcentral.